ACUCAAAGGAAUUGACGGGGGAGCACAACAACGGGUGGAGCCUGCGGUUUAAUUGGACUCAACGCCGGACAACUCACCGGGAACGACAGCAAUAUGUAGGCCAGGCUGAAGACCUUGCCUGAAUCGCUGAGAGGAGGUGCAUGGCCGUCGCCAGUUCGUACUGUGAAGCAUCCUGUUAAGUCAGGCAACGAGCGAGACCCGUGCCCACUGUUACCAGCAUAUCCUCCGGGAUGAUGGGUACUCUGUGGGGACCGCUGAUGUUAAAUCAGAGGAAGGUGCGGGCUACGGUAGGUCAGUAUGCCCCGAAUUUCCCGGGCUACACGCGGGCUACAAUGAAUGGGACAAUGGGCCCCUACCCUGAAAAGGGUUGGUAAUCUCACAAACCCAUCCGUAGUUCGGAUUGAGGGCUGUAACUCGCCCUCAUGAAGCUGGAAUCCGUAGUAAUCGCGUUUCAAUAUAGCGCGGUGAAUACGUCCCUGCUCCUUGCACACACCGCCCGU
RNAcentral lists this ribosomal RNA (500 nucleotides) under uncultured bacterium. Its description in RNAcentral is "bacterial SSU rRNA". It matches the Rfam family "Archaeal small subunit ribosomal RNA", at positions 854 to 1353 of the family's 1478-position model. The record is from RNAcentral.